GCCAGCAUGGCUCAGUAGUUGAGCAUCUACCUUUGAACUAGGAGGUCAUGGUUUGAUUCCUGGUCAGGGCA
Myotis davidii is the source of this 71-nucleotide non-coding RNA. The record is from Rfam. NCBI's taxonomy places the organism in Eukaryota, Metazoa, Chordata, Mammalia, Chiroptera, Vespertilionidae.